CGGACGGGUGAGUAAUGUAUGGGGAUCUGCCUGAUGGCGGGGGAUAACUACUGGAAACGGUAGCUAAUACCGCAUAAUGUCUGCGGACCAAAGCGGGGGACCUCCGGGCCUCGCGCCAUCAGAUGAACCCAUAUGGGAUUAGCUUGUAGGUAAGGUAACGGCUUACCUAGGCGACGAUCCCUAGCUGGUCUGAGAGGAUGAUCAGCCACACUGGGACUGGGACACGGCCCAG
Molecule: ribosomal RNA, 232 nt
Filed under: uncultured bacterium
Lineage: Bacteria
Description: partial 16S ribosomal RNA
Rfam family: Bacterial small subunit ribosomal RNA
Source: RNAcentral